RNAcentral lists this ribosomal RNA (924 nucleotides) under uncultured bacterium. Its description in RNAcentral is "bacterial SSU rRNA". It matches the Rfam family "Bacterial small subunit ribosomal RNA", at positions 1 to 935 of the family's 1533-position model. The record is from RNAcentral.
AGGGGUUUGAUCAUGGCUCAGAAUGAACGUUGGCGGCGUGGAUUAGGCAUGCAAGUCGCGCGAGAAGCUUCCUGCUUGCAGGAGGUGGAAAGCGGCGUAAGGGAGAGUAACGCGUGGAUUAUCUACCCUGGGGUCCGGAAUAGCUGUGGGAAACUGCAGGUAAUGCCGGAUAACAUCUUCGGAUCAAAGGUGUGAUUCCGCCCUUGGAGGAGUCCGCGUCCUACUAGCUUGUUGGUGAGGUAAUGGCUCACCAAGGCUUCGAUGGGUACCGGGUGUGAGAGCAUGGCCCGGCUCACUGGGACUGAGACACUGCCCAGACACCUACGGGUGGCUGCAGUCGAGAAUCUUCGGCAAUGGGCGCAAGCCUGACCGAGCGACGCCGCGUGCGGGAUGAAGGCCUUCGGGUUGUAAACCGCUGUCAGAGGGGAUGAAAUGCUAGGGGGUACUCUCCCUAGUUUGACAUAGCCUCAGAGGAAGGGCGGGCUAAGUUCGUGCCAGCAGCCGCGGUAAGACGAACCGCCCAAACGUUAUUCGGAAUCACUGGGCUUAAAGGGUGCGUAGGCGGCACGGAAAGUUGGGUGUGAAAUCCCUCGGCUCAACCGAGGAACUGCGCCCAAAACUAUCGUGCUAGAGGGAGAUAGAGGUAAGCGGAACUGAUGGUGGAGCGGUGAAAUGCGUUGAUAUUAUCAGGAACACCGGUGGCGAAGGCGGCUUACUGGAUCUCUUCUGACGCUGAGGCACGAAAGCUAGGGGAGCGAACGGGAUUAGAUACCCCGGUAGUCCUAGCUGUAAACGAUGAGCACUUGAUCGAAGACUCCUCCAUAGGUUUUCGGUCGUAGCGAAAGUGUUAAGUGCUCCGCCUGGGGGAGUAUGGUCGCAAGGCUGAAACUCAAAGGAAUUGACGGGGGCUCACACAAGCGUGAG